This 440-nucleotide ribosomal RNA is filed under the name uncultured bacterium. RNAcentral's name for it is "bacterial SSU rRNA". It matches the Rfam family "Bacterial small subunit ribosomal RNA", at positions 354 to 796 of the family's 1533-position model. The record is from RNAcentral.
GUAAGGAAUAUUGCGCAAUGGACGAAAGUCUGACGCAGCGACGCCGCGUGGGGGAUGAAGGUCUUCGGAUUGUAAACCCCUUUCGGGAGGGAAGAUGGAGUGGGUAACCACUUGGACGGUACCUCCAGAAGCAGCCACGGCUAACUUCGUGCCAGCAGCCGCGGUAAUACGAAGGUGGCAAGCGUUGUUCGGAUUCACUGGGCGUACAGGGAGCGUAGGCGGUUGGGUAAGCCCUCCGUGAAAUCUCCGGGCCUAACCCGGAAAGUGCAGAGGGGACUGCUCAGCUAGAGGAUGGGAGAGGAGCGCGGAAUUCCCGGUGUAGCGGUGAAAUGCGUAGAGAUCGGGAGGAAGGCCGGUGGCGAAGGCGGCGCUCUGGAACAUUUCUGACGCUGAGGCUCGAAAGCGUGGGGAGCAAACAGGAUUAGAAACCCCAGUAGUCC